Molecule: long non-coding RNA, 1352 nt
Organism: Brassica oleracea var. oleracea
Lineage: Eukaryota; Viridiplantae; Streptophyta; Magnoliopsida; Brassicales; Brassicaceae
Exons: 8
Source: RefSeq, a predicted model, not a curated record
UCCUCUUUACAGAACUCAACCUCGCCUUUUCGGCUUUCACGAUCUGCAAAAGUGAUGUCGUUAUGUCUUCACCUUCCCUGUGGUUCAAUGUAUUUCUUUUAAUUCAGGAUUAAUUGUUAAUCACAGUUAGGAUCUUGACGCCUUCCUUUCCUUCCCCGUGAAAUCAUAUAUAUCAGCGGAUUGAGAACGAACCACUGUCUCGCGCACUCAACCUUUGACUCGGUAGAUCUUCCCAGAUCAUUGUUGGUCGCCUGAUCCAUGUUUCUGACUCGAAAAACAUCAAGCAACAAGGUGAAUUCAUGGGAAUCACUCUACUCCUCCAAAUCAAGCCUCCAUGUCCCAUGACUGAUAUCACGGCAGGAUUGUCUCUGCAUAUUUACUUUGAAUGUUAAAUUUGGCUGGACAACACUCGGAUGUCCGCGAGAGCUCGAGUCUCACUGUCAGGAAACAUGUAUAGGUUCUAAAUAGAGAUUCAUAACCAACAUGAUGAAACGGAAGCAAAGUUCUUGAGGAGAAGGCAGCUCUCUAGAAGCUAAAUAUCAAAAGUUAUAGCAGUCUUUCUAUACCAAGCGAUAUGAGAUUGUGACCGGUGUGGUUGGAGUUGAAGAUUAACCUAAAGAAGUAAAAAGAGCCUGGAGAAGAUAAAGUGUUAAGUCCCUUAAAUCUUUUUUUUUUUAAGGCCGAAGCUCUAAAUCUGCAACAUUAAACGCAGAAUUCAAUACUGGUUCCAGACAGAAGGUUGGACAAUGGAUGGACAUUACAGGUCACUGAUAUACAUGAGGCCUCUCGCAAUACGGGGAAUGCAGUGGGCAUUGUCGCUGCAAAAGGCAAUCCUUGAUACUCCUAAGAUCAACAUGAUGGCCAGAGUUCACAUGUCCCCUAUGAGCCGCAUAUUCUCUCACAACUCCAAAGUUGUAACACACCAAGCGGCAUAAGCUAAAUAAGGACUUGAUAUGGAAUCUCUUUCCAGAGUAGAGAGUGAAGUUAGGGAGGAAUUAGCACAAACACCAUGACAACGAGAGCUCUGAGUUCUUUUUCUCACUUCAUGGCAAUGAGGCUUACCCACUUUGCGUUUCAAAAUUUUCUGCAAGUUGCAAUGAAGCCUAAGCUGGAAGCAGUGUUAUUUCGAUUUCAUUAAAGAAGAAGCUGGGCGGCUAUUUAGACCAUUGCAAACAAUCCUCUGGUACUACCUCAAGGACCAUAGCUACACUUUGUACAACGCAGAAAUCUAGAAUUAUACAUUUUUUUGGUAAACUUAUUUAUAUACAUUUGUUUGGGUUUAACUCGAACGUAAGUAAUUUACAUACAUAUAUAAAUAUUAUUAUUGCAUCGUUUUAAACAAUUUAAAAUUC